GAUCUUUAUUUUUUUUAUAUAUAAAUUAAUAAGAUUAUAAAAAUUUAUAUAAAAAAAAAAAUUUUAUUGGGGUGAUAUUAAAAUUUGAAUAACUUUUAAAAUUAAUAACAUUAAUAUAUGAAUUUAUGAUCCAAUUUUAUUGAUUAAAAAAUUAAGUUACCUUAGGGAUAACAGCGUAAUUUUUUUUUAGAGUUCAUAUCGACAAAAAAGAUUGC
RNAcentral lists this ribosomal RNA (215 nucleotides) under Limatus durhamii. Its description in RNAcentral is "partial 16S ribosomal RNA". The record is from RNAcentral. Lineage: Eukaryota; Metazoa; Arthropoda; Insecta; Diptera; Culicidae.